UCUUUAUCAGAUAACUGUCGGAUUUUAUUUCUCACUCUACGGUUGUCAGAAAAAUAUGAAACUUUAAAUCUAGCCUCAUAAAAAUAUUUCUGACCUAUCCUCCAAUUUUCGUAAUUUUCUGAGACUGUGUAUUUUAUGCUAAUUUAUCUGUCCCGUUUCCAACAGAAAAUUCUAGAUCUUCUGUUUUCAUUCCGAUUUCAGCACAAGUCACUUCUGACUUAUGUUUUACUCCUCUACAUCCAAUAAAAAUAGUAUCUCACCCUAUUUUUAUUUAUUUUUAUUUUUAUACCAAAAUCUGGUACGUUACAAUAGUGGCUGAUCGCGCAAAGGCAAUAACCAACGUAGGGGCAAAUCAUAAAUAGGCAUACAGUACCCUAAAAAAAGG
RNAcentral lists this long non-coding RNA (385 nucleotides) under Ananas comosus (pineapple). RNAcentral's name for it is "long non-coding RNA (ACOM_LNC034980)". The record is from RNAcentral. Lineage: Eukaryota; Viridiplantae; Streptophyta; Magnoliopsida; Poales; Bromeliaceae.